GCUGGUGACACAAUAGUUAAGUGCUUGGCUCCUAACCAAAAGUCGGUGGUUCAAACCCACCCAGUGGCU
RNAcentral lists this transfer RNA (69 nucleotides) under Loxodonta africana (African savanna elephant). It matches the Rfam family "tRNA". Rfam says of the family: Transfer RNA (tRNA) molecules are approximately 80 nucleotides in length. Their secondary structure includes four short double-helical elements and three loops (D, anti-codon, and T loops). Lineage: Eukaryota; Metazoa; Chordata; Mammalia; Proboscidea; Elephantidae. The record is from Rfam by way of RNAcentral.